UUAAAUUGAAGAGUUUGAUCAUGGCUCAGAUUGAACGCUGGCGGCAGGCUUAACACAUGCAAGUCGAACGGUAACAGGAAGCAGCUUGCUGCUU
This 94-nucleotide ribosomal RNA is filed under the name Salmonella enterica. RNAcentral describes it as "partial 16S ribosomal RNA". It matches the Rfam family "Bacterial small subunit ribosomal RNA", at positions 1 to 88 of the family's 1533-position model. RNAcentral also lists the same sequence under 2 other names. Lineage: Bacteria; Pseudomonadati; Pseudomonadota; Gammaproteobacteria; Enterobacterales; Enterobacteriaceae. The record is from RNAcentral.